CACGUAGGGCGCAAGCGUUGUCCGGAAUUAUUGGGCGUAAAGAGCUCGUAGGCGGUCUGUUACGUCUGCUGUGAAAACCCAGGGCUUAACCCUGGGCUUGCAGUGGGUACGGGCAGACUAGAGUGUGGUAGGGGAGACUGGAAUUCCUGGUGUAGCGGUGGAAUGCGCAGAUAUCAGGAGGAACACCGAUGGCGAAGGCAGGUCUCUGGGCCACUACUGACGCUGAGAAGCGAAAGCAUGGGGAGCGAACAGG
Molecule: ribosomal RNA, 253 nt
Filed under: uncultured bacterium
Lineage: Bacteria
Description: partial 16S ribosomal RNA
Rfam family: Bacterial small subunit ribosomal RNA
Source: RNAcentral